UACGUAGGGUGCAAGCGUUGUCCGGAAUUAUUGGGCGUAAAGAGCUCGUAGGCGGUCUGUCACGUCGGAUGUGAAAACUCGGGGCUCAACCCCGGGCCUGCAUACGAUACGGGCAGACUUGAGUUCGGCAGGGGAGACUGGAAUUCCUGGUGUAGCGGUGAAAUGCGCAGAUAUCAGGAGGAACACCGGUGGCGAAGGCGGGUCUCUGGGCCGAUACUGACGCUGAGGAGCGAAAGCGUGGGGAGCGAACAGG
This 253-nucleotide ribosomal RNA is filed under the name uncultured bacterium. Its description in RNAcentral is "partial 16S ribosomal RNA". It matches the Rfam family "Bacterial small subunit ribosomal RNA", at positions 524 to 776 of the family's 1533-position model. The record is from RNAcentral.